AGUAUGCGCUACUAGGAUCCGUUCAAACCCUGUCAACCUGAGGAGUGGGGGAGGAAGAUGAACUUUAGAAUAAUUAGCUACUGUAUGCUCAUCAUGGGACUGAGCAUCAGCGCUCACAUUCUCUUCAGACUGUUGGAGUCUGUCAUAACAACUUCACGGACGAGAAGAACAGGGUCAUCAAACAGAUCUACAAUGAGGGCAAGAGUGAACGGGUUUAAGAAGCAGACAGAGAUUCUCAGACAGAAUUCUCAGGAGAAAUACAAAAUCACUUGCAACAAGUAGGAGUUUAGUAGAAUACGAGCACAUCGUAAAACAAGGGGGAUUUAUAUGGCCAAACGCCUCGGAAGAGGAAUGGAGUCAUUCAGGAAGGGGAGCGAACGGUUGAUUGAGUUAGGAGUAGUUCACUUUUUCAGUGGUUUGUGGCAGACGUUGAUGAUGUGCACAGCUCACGUUUGCUUGGACCUCGGAUACUAAGCCGAGGUGUUAAAACAAGUGUGUAAUACCUGGGUGAAAYGGAAACAGUAAUGGGGUACAUGUCUUUGUCACAGUAAAGCCUCGCCCCACAGCCAUUCUAGGUUUCUCCAGGAGGAGAAUACGUUGUGGAGAUUUGGUCUGGUAUCACAAGACUAACAGCAGUAGGACAUGUCAUUAGCAGCACAUCUCUUCCGCUAUUGGAUGGAACCAAGACUCCUGUUAGCCAGUUGCUAAUUGGUUUGCAUACCCGUGACAUGCUGUUUCCCCCACGGCCGUUCAGAGGCAUGCUCAACAAGAUUCAUGGGACUGUGUGAAUUUGGCAUUCCAGAUAUAGUAAAACUUCAGUGUUCCGUAAUGUAAGUCGAUGGUUGAUUAAAGACUUUACGUAAUCAAAGGUAGAAUCCCUUAAUGACAGAAAGGGGGUGCUCUGCACAGCUGCCCUUGAACCACUGGGAUUCAGUCAUUGUGCCUCUGUGUGUCAAUGAUAUCAUGGAACUCUUGACUCUGCUACUGGGCCCAGGGUGGACCCAAAUACAGUCAUAAAAAUAUACUGUUUGGGACAGGAGUUUUUCCUGUUACCUACAUGCAAUAUUUAGGACCUUCUGCUUUUCCUGGUUAUGUGAUGAGGGAAAACUGUCCCUAGAUAUACUAAAUCCUUUCCCAUUGAAAGGAUAUGGAAUCAAGAGACAUUUAGAAAAUUAAGUCAUAUUAGGACUUUUUAAAAUGGUAUCUAAUUGUACACUUUUCUGAUGUUGAAGAAUUCAUUUUAGGGAUGGUAAUUAUACUAUGGAAAGUACUGAAGUGGAAACUGGAAAGCAGGCAGAUUCACAUUUCUAAGAUUAGAAAUGUAUUUAAUUUAUUGCUGUGGUUACGGCCAACAGACACUUACCAUAAGUCACAGAUUGUGUUUCAGUGAUGUUUAAUGACAGCCUUAACUCUUCACGGUGGCGUUGAUUCAUGCAAUGAUUGCACUGUUCCUCUGAUCUCAACCAACAACAUCCAAUGUUUCAUUUUGAGUUUGUUUCUCACCUGAUUCCACUCUCACAUGUCAGGUCAGGUUUGGAAGUGAGCGAGUGGUGCAGUGUGUGUUAAUGACUCUAUGGCCUUCUGUUGUUUCUCAAGGCCUUAGCUGAAACCACAGGAGAUAACAGGUCCCCGCAUACCCACAUCCCCCAUGUAGUGCACAAGUGCCCCCUCAUAACCAAAACACACCACACUGACAGAGACUCUUCUGUCGAUGUAAAGACAAACUGAUGGGAGACAGAGUUUACUGUACAGUCUGGGCUGCUGAUCAAGGUUUUGUAAGCCUCUGACUGUGACCUAGUGCUGCUGAUCAAGGUUUUGUAAGCCUCUGACUGUGACCUAGUGCUGCUGAUCAAGGUUUUGUAAGCCUCUGACUGUGACCUAGUGCUGCUGAUCAAGGUKUUGUAAGCCUCUGACUGUGACCUAGUGCUGCUGAUCAAGGUUUUGUAAGCCUCUGACUGUGACCUAAAUUAGUUGUGCAAAUGUAUUAUUCCAAUCAAAUAAAUGAUUAAUAUCAA
Non-coding RNA from Salvelinus sp. IW2-2015, 2015 nucleotides. The record is from RefSeq and is a predicted model, not a curated record. NCBI's taxonomy places the organism in Eukaryota, Metazoa, Chordata, Actinopteri, Salmoniformes, Salmonidae.